This 253-nucleotide ribosomal RNA is filed under the name uncultured prokaryote. RNAcentral describes it as "partial 16S ribosomal RNA". It matches the Rfam family "Bacterial small subunit ribosomal RNA", at positions 524 to 776 of the family's 1533-position model. The record is from RNAcentral.
UACGAAGGGUGCAAGCGUUGCUCGGAAUUAUUGGGCGUAAAGGGUAGGUAGGUGGUGAUGUAUGUCUGGGGUGAAAUCCCUGAGCUCAACUCAGGACGUGCCUUGGAAACUGCAUCACUAGAGUGCUGGAGAGGUUCGUAGAAUUCCCGGUGUAGCGGUGAAAUGCGUAGAGAUCGGGAGGAAUACCAGAGGCGAAGGCGGCGAACUGGACAGCAACUGACACUCAACUACGAAAGCGUGGGGAGCAAACAGG